This 457-nucleotide ribosomal RNA is filed under the name uncultured soil bacterium. Its description in RNAcentral is "bacterial SSU rRNA". It matches the Rfam family "Bacterial small subunit ribosomal RNA", at positions 26 to 516 of the family's 1533-position model. The record is from RNAcentral.
AGAACGAACGCUGGCGGCAUGCCUAAUACAUGCAAGUCGAACGAACUCUUCGGAGUUAGUGGCGCACGGGUGCGUAACGCGUGGGAAUCUGCCCUUGGGUUCGGAAUAACAGUUGGAAACGACUGCUAAUACCGGAUGAUGACGAAAGUCCAAAGAUUUAUCGCCCAGGGAUGAGCCCGCGUAGGAUUAGCUAGUUGGUGAGGUAAAGGCUCACCAAGGCGACGAUCCUUAGCUGGUCUGAGAGGAUGAUCAGCCACACUGGGACUGAGACACGGCCCAGACUCCUACGGGAGGCAGCAGUAGGGAAUAUGGACAAUGGGCGCAAGCCUGAUCCAGCAAUGCCGCGUGAGUGAUGAAGCCUUAGGUGUAAAGCUCUUUACCCGAGAUGAUAACUAGACAGUAGUACGGUAAGAAAUAAGACCCCGGACUAACCGUCCCGUACGCCAAGCGAGCCGAC